UUAUAAAAUCCCAGUGAGUAGACAGACAUCAUCAAAAUAAUCUAAAGCCGAGUAAUAGGAGACAAUUAAAAUAAUUCAUCUCAACCCAUAUAAAUAAUUGGAUUUCAUCUAAUUACUCAACAUGGCUUAUGCACUUUUCAAAAACUUGGCCCUUGCCAAAAAUCCAUUCUCGGGGAUACCUCGCGAAGGCAUCUUACCGAGACCGCCAAGGCUGUUUAUUGUCACACACACAAACACAUUUCACCUCUGACAACACAGCCGUUCCUUGGCGUUGGCUGAGUCCCAGUUUCACGUGGUGGCCAGCGUGAAGUGUACUCAAAUCCUACCUCGGGAGUUAUCCUACGCGCCUCUCCAAUCGAGGUAAGCUCAAUAAUUGGGAACCGUGCCCCUCUAAUUAGG
RNAcentral lists this long non-coding RNA (399 nucleotides) under Theobroma cacao (cacao). Its description in RNAcentral is "long non-coding RNA (TCAC_LNC006368)". Lineage: Eukaryota; Viridiplantae; Streptophyta; Magnoliopsida; Malvales; Malvaceae. The record is from RNAcentral.